RNAcentral lists this ribosomal RNA (560 nucleotides) under Brevibacterium sp. RNAcentral's name for it is "bacterial SSU rRNA". It matches the Rfam family "Bacterial small subunit ribosomal RNA", at positions 912 to 1467 of the family's 1533-position model. Lineage: Bacteria; Bacillati; Actinomycetota; Actinomycetes; Micrococcales; Brevibacteriaceae. The record is from RNAcentral.
GACGGGGGCCCGCACAAGCGGCGGAGCAUGCGGAUUAAUUCGAUGCAACGCGAAGAACCUUACCAAGGCUUGACAUACACUGGACCGUUCUGGAAACAGUUCUUCUCUUUGGAGCUGGUGUACAGGUGGUGCAUGGUUGUCGUCAGCUCGUGUCGUGAGAUGUUGGGUUAAGUCCCGCAACGAGCGCAACCCUCGUUCUAUGUUGCCAGCACGUGAUGGUGGGAACUCAUAGGAGACUGCCGGGGUCAACUCGGAGGAAGGUGGGGAUGACGUCAAAUCAUCAUGCCCUUUAUGUCUUGGGCUUCACGCAUGCUACAAUGGCUGGUACAGAGAGAGGCGAACCCGUGAGGGUAAGCGAAUCCCUUAAAGCCAGUCUCAGUUCGGAUCGUAGUCUGCAAUUCGACUACGUGAAGUCGGAGUCGCUAGUAAUCGCAGAUCAGCAACGCUGCGGUGAAUACGUUCCCGGGCCUUGUACACACCGCCCGUCAAGUCACGAAAGUCGGUAACACCCGAAGCCGGUGUCCCAACCCACUUGUGGGAGGGGGCCGUCUAAGGUGGGA